CCCACCCAUUAAUCAAUUCCUAAAUUUUUUAUUACAUAAAAUGAUAAAAUAACAUAUAAUUAAACAAAAACUAUAUAUAUAUAUAUAAGAAAAAAAAAAAAAAAAAAAAAAAAAAAAAAAAAAAAAAAAAAAAAAAAAAAAAAAAAAAAAAAAAAACCAGACGCAUAGUCGCACCCACCCGAGCCCCCUCCCUCUUUUCGUCCCUUUGUCUCUCUCUCUCUCCGUCCCUUUUUCCCCCAUCCCAUCUUCUUGAGUUCUCCGAUUCCACCCCCCUUUCGCCAUCGACCCCUCCUUCGAGAGGUUUCUUAAGUCUAGGUUAUGCGAUGCUAAUCAGACUAAGCUCAUUGAUUGCGCUCUCCAAUUGGGCUAUGCGCUCUGCGAGAAAACGAGCCUCCAAGCACAACUCUCUCACCUGGGCUCUCCCUCUAGACGUCCCUCCAAGAACAAUUUGUAUAUAUUGAUAGGGAUGGGAAACUGGGAGGAGAGUGGGACGGGGAGAGAGAGCGGGAUGAAGAGAGGGAGGGUGCUCUGGUGAGGAAGAGGUGGGGGCGCCGCUGUCGCGAACACAUUCAGACCAUGAGUCGACGC
Molecule: long non-coding RNA, 588 nt
Filed under: Prunus dulcis (almond)
Lineage: Eukaryota; Viridiplantae; Streptophyta; Magnoliopsida; Rosales; Rosaceae
Description: sRNA ncRNA
Source: RNAcentral